Molecule: ribosomal RNA, 205 nt
Filed under: Paenibacillus validus
Lineage: Bacteria; Bacillati; Bacillota; Bacilli; Caryophanales; Paenibacillaceae
Description: Bacterial large subunit ribosomal RNA
Rfam family: Bacterial large subunit ribosomal RNA
Source: Rfam by way of RNAcentral
GUUAUGAGCAAUGGGGUGACGCAGAAGGAUAGUGACGCGAGCUGAUGGAUGCUCGUCCAAGCAGUGAGGCUGGUGUGCAGGCAAAUCCGCACACCGUAAGGCUGGGCUGUGAUGGGGAGGGAAAUUUAAGUACCGAAGGUCAUGAGUUCAGGCUGCCAAGAAAAGCCUCUAGCCAGGGAGAAGGUGCCCGUACCGCAAACCGACA